Pistacia vera is the source of this 725-nucleotide long non-coding RNA. RefSeq lists it as uncharacterized. The record is from RefSeq and is a predicted model, not a curated record. The transcript has 2 exons. NCBI's taxonomy places the organism in Eukaryota, Viridiplantae, Streptophyta, Magnoliopsida, Sapindales, Anacardiaceae.
UUUCUUGUUUAAUUCUUGGGAAUCAGGUCAGCCUUAGUACGCGUGAUAAUGAAAUGUCAAGAAAGUUAUCGAAGAUAUUGGAGGGACUUAGAAUGAUUGAUCUUUCAUAUCAUCAGCUGUGUCAUCUUGUAAGACAAGGUGAACAGCCCAGAGAAGGCUUCUUACUUCUUGUAAACCUUGUUGAGGACCAGAUCGGUGGUAGCAGUGGUUAUAUGGAUUGGGUUCUGCAGAUACAUCGACAAGUACAGCAGAAUCCAUAGUACAAAGAGAUACCAGUGGCUUGUUCUGUGCUUCAUUGAGAAAGUGAUCCGAGCAUUUGUUCAAUACCGUAAAUAACCUUUGAUUUCAGCCACAAGUUCCUCGCAAAAUGUGGAUGUUUGAGUCGCCGAUAAUGAUCACCUUCACUGGAAAGAUUUUCAGACGACAAUCUGUUGCUUCACUACAGGAUUCAAUAACUUGGGGAGAUGCACUUUUAAUGAUACAUUGUUUUACUUCGAGUUUUCAUAUUGAAACGCAACAGAGCAAAAUUUUAUUUGAUAGCUAAAAUUAUUGUCAGUAAAUUUUUUUACUUAGUGAUAUAUUUUUAAGAACCCUUUAGGUAUUUGCUUUGUUUAGAGAGGUGUGUUCCAAUUUCUUGACAUUGUUCAUUGUCAAUUUUGUUCUGAUAUUUGAAGCAAUGCUAAAUUUGCCUUUCUGGGCUUUGAAUGGAUAUUACUUUUGAUAUA